GCCGCGCUGAAUGGCUGCGGGCGGCAAGGCUCGAACCGUUGCUGUUGGUGCUCGGGCUGAAGAUGGCGGCGGCGACCGGUAAGAAUUCGGCCCCGUCGGCUGAGGUGAAGGCGGUGGCCGCGGGCUGGAUGCUGGAGUUCUCCUGCUGCUGCCUGUGUCGGCACUUCGGGGACGGGUGCCCCGCAGAGUUCCAGCGGUGGAGCGACGUGGCGCAUGCUCUUACUAAUGGCCUCUCCAAAAUACCUACACAUCAGAAAAAAAAGGUGUACCUCUGUCAGCUUUUGAUAAGGAUCGCAAAAGGAAAAAAACUUGAAUGUCAUUUUGAAAAUGAUAAAAGAAUUUCACCUUUGGAAUCUGCCCUGUCUUUCUGGACUUUACUUGAAAAGGAAGAAGUUGAACUGGAAAAGCUUCAUAAAGAUAUUCAUCAGUUGAUUCAAAUUCAGAUUGUAGCAGUCUAUAUGGAAAAUGGAUAUUUCAAGGAGGCUGCUGAAGCUCUUGAAAGGCUGUUUACAGACUCAGAAUCAGAUAAGCCUUUAAGGAUGAAGCUGGCAACUGUAAUUAAAAGCAAGGAUCCCUAUGUUCCUCUUCUCCAAACCUUCAGUUACAAUGUUUUGAUAAGUAAAAUCAAGUCUUACAUUGAACUUUUCAUGAAAGAAAAUGAAACUAACUUCUUAUUACAGGCAGCCACGAAAGAAGUAGAGUCUCAAGGACUGGGAGCAAUAACAUUGCAAAGCAAGACUGUGAAUGCUGAUGAAAAUGACAAAGAGAAUUUGGAAACAAAACAAAGGCCUCAUUCAGGAGGGAAACUCAGAGAGGCAACUGUUCUUCAGAGUUUGAAUGGCUUGCAAAAUGUGGAAAAACAAGGACAUGCUUUGGUUUCUACCCGAAAAAAACAGCGAUGGACUUACAAAGAGGACUUGAAACUGAAAUUAGGAGUAAAAGAGUUUGGAGUGGGUAACUGGGCUAAAAUUUUGGUCCAUGGUGACUUCAACAACCGAACUAGUGUCAUGUUAAAAGACAGAUGGAGAACACUGUGCAAGAUCCAAAAAAACUAAUUUGGACUAGAGGAGUCAACUCUUCUUAACCUUUCCCUACAUAAGGACCUAGUUUGUCUUUUCAGAAUACUAAUUUAUUUUAUUCUCAGAGUGUCCAGCGGUGUUGCUGUCCUAAAAUAUGUAACAGAAAAGUAAUAGAUAUUAGACAUUCAUGUAAGCUCAUUUGCUUGUGUAGUGAUGACUUAAACGUGUGUAGGUAAAAGGCCAUGCUUUAUAAUAGAAGACCUUAUUUCUGAAAUGGGAAAAUGCUUGCAGUGAUUUAAGAAAGGGCAGUUAUGUACAUAGAAGUAUUAAAUGCUUGGCAACAUGUUUGGGUUGAUAGUCAGGUGUUCUGUAUUUUUAAAGUGCUGUAUCUCUAGACAGAUUGAGCUUUUUAGUAUUUUAGUUCCUGUCAUAUAAUUCAUUCUAAUCUGAUUUGCUUCACUUUGAAAUUUUGAUCAGAUUUGUCAUUUCUGUCAGCAAGUUAUACAAAAAAAUAUGUAUGUAUUGGUAUUGCUCAUUUUACAAACCAGUUCCUUUUCUUGCAGUUAAAAAUGUGGUAGUCCAUGUAAUUUCUUAUUUAUAAAUACUAAAGGUGAGGGCGAGGGGUGGUUUGGUUUGGGUGGGGAUUAAGAAUGAAGCUUUAAGUUCUAGGUGGAAGAUUACUUUGAACUUAUGCAUACUGGCUUAAUACCAUCUCUUAUCUCACAGGAGAGAUUAAAAACAUAUGGAAAGUAACAGUGUGAUACUAGCACUUAACAGCUAACAUCUCUUGAUUAUCUUGUGUCACCUACCUUGUCUUAAGAAGUUGCAUCUUCUAGACCAGCAGGAAAAGGAACGCUCGAAAACAAAUGGCCAAAGUUGGGCUCAAUAACCAGUCUAUACUGACACUGGUAGCACAGCUCAUGAGAUGUUUCAUUUGUGCCCUCUGCUGUCUCUGCAGUUAUAGCAAGCUAAGAUAUGCUCUUAAGGGGGUAACCAACUAUCAAGGUGUCAUUGUAAAUAAUGUUCAUGAAAGACUGUAACAGAUGAUGGUACUAGGCUGUCUCUCUUGAUUCAGAUUGUGUGGAGAAGGUUCCACAACCUCAGAAAACCCAUACUUUUCACUGUCAUGGUGGUGUGAAUCUUUGGACUUAAACUAACAUAUCACAGCAUUCUUUCAAAAAGGAAAUCAAUACAGAGGUUUUCUGUACCUUUAUCUUUGGAUAAGAUUUUUCCUUUACAUGAACCUUACAAGGAAAAGCACCUGUUCAAGCUGGUCAUAAUAAAAUAAACCUCCCAGAUAUUUUUCCUGGCUACAAGGAAGACAUAUAUUCCUGCAGGCUGAAAUGUUUAGGAAGUAUUAAGAAACUCUUGCUUUCUGUUUUGGAAGCCUGCUUCCAUUAAGAUUAGAUACUUAAUAAAGUACAGUUACAAAGGUUUGUUUCACACUCUUAUUGUGGAGGAGACCUCAGCCAGAUCAUCUUCUUUAUUCUUUCCACCAGAUGCUACAGUUUCUUCUUGCAGCUGGUAGAAACAGUGACAAGCAGUAGCCUAUAGAUUGCACAGAGCUGCUGCAUGUCUUAACUGUAAAUUUUCUCAACCUUAAGUCAUCUUUUUUAUUAUUAUUUUUUUAACUUUUUUUUUUUUAGCAAACAUAAAUUUCAGGAUUUUGAUGAAAUACAGGCAUUGUCCUUCAGCAGGGAAUGCUAGAGCAGCUGUAAGCCAACAACUGAAAAAGUUUUAGCAGGUAUCUGAUGACUAAAGAAGUGCAGUAUGCUGCCUCUUUAAUGCCAUAACAGUAAUUGAAGGUAAGUAAUAGGUAGCAAAACAUGGAUUUGAACUAUCUGAGUAGCAGUCUUGCCUGUGCUUUAAUAUGAAUGCUCUGUGCUAGUCAUUGUGCAUCAGCAGUUUUAACUAGUAAUAAGUAAUUUUUUUUUAUGUCAGCCAAGGCUUUUGUCACAAAGUUUUGUUUAGGUUCAUCUGCCAUAAAGUUCACACUAUGUAUUAAUGACAUGAAGUUCUGAGAAAGGCUAUUUAACAACACUGGCUAGUCAUAUGUCUUCUAUGAAGGUGACUGGAUAUGAAAACAGCAAUGUAGAGGAAGAAUACUUGUAGUAUAAACAACUGUCUAGAUGAUAUUGGGAAGGAACAAAGGAUCUAAACUGACAUCCUGUUUUAGCUGUCCAACUUUAAUUUUUAUUCACCCUUGCUAUUUAAUGAUGACAGUAACUAUUCUCAGUCUUGAGAAUGUUUGGCUGGCUCUCUACUGAGUAGGUGCAAUGCCUGUAGACAGGACUGGCCAGUAAAGAAUGAGAACUUAAGGAAAAGCAGCUACUUUUAGAAACAUUACCUCUUUAAGUACAAAAGAGAAACACAGAAAUAUGCUUCUAGUGUGCUAAUACAAAGAUCAGUCUUAGUUUUUUGUAUUAAGACAGAGUUUCCCAAAAUGCUUCUUAAAGUUCUGACUCAUUGAAAAUUUGUCUAGGCUUCGGGAAGUGCAGCAGAAAGAUGUGGGUUUCUUGGUAUUGGUUAAUUUUCUUAAUCUUUUUGUUGUUGCUGUUUUAAAGGUCUUUUAGACUUUCAUGUGAAAAUAAAGCUAUGCACAAGGGGACAUGAGCAGUGCUCCAGCUGCCGAAUCUUCUUCCAGGUUCCUUGGCACUGAGAGUUGCCAACUGCUUCCCAGUAAUUACUGUUCUAGAAACCAGAUGUACAGGUUUGAGAGGAGUUCUGAUCCACCACCGUUAAACCUGAAAAAGGAUCUGGAUUAUUAGCAGGGAAGACUGAGUUUAAGUAAAAGUGCCCAUUGCUGUAAAAAGACCUCUUACACUACAGAAGCUGCAUCACCCUUUCACAAUAGUAAAUAAAGCAUUCAAAGCACUGAACACUUGAAUAUUGAAAUUCUGACAAACUGAAGAAUUGAAAUCUCAAAUUCUUCCCCCGUUUUAUCUAGGUAACAAUUUAUGUGAGAACUGAAAGGGUAAAUCUUCUGAGCUCUACAAGUUUCACUUUUUAGGCAUAAUAUAAAAUGCAGCUUUAAAUGACACCUUGAGAAGUCUUUGCUACAGAAGAGACAGCAGAAAAAAGACUUGUUACCCAUCGGCAUUAUGGCCAUCUCCAGAACAGCGAUGUGUGUCUGCAUUCAUAGCUGGAGACUGGCAAGCUACACACACAGUGUGUCCUACUUGGAGGUACUGCAUCCAUCGAGCGUAUGGCCGAUUCUCCAAAGCACAGUGCUGUGAAAGUGAUUCUGUUUUGAAUUCCACACAGUAUCUGCUCAGAAGGAAAAGUACCAAGUUAUGACAGAUAAAGCACAAGCUAGGUGUACACUUUUAAAUGUACUUACGUAGCAUAUGUGUGGUAUUUGAAGCGCAAGUUAGACAUCAUCAUUACUAAUAAAUCUGUUUCUGACCCUCA
Melopsittacus undulatus (budgerigar) is the source of this 4430-nucleotide RNA transcript. It is a transcript of the gene named telomeric repeat binding factor 1, with no coding region annotated. The transcript is spliced from 10 exons. The record is from RefSeq and is a predicted model, not a curated record. Lineage: Eukaryota; Metazoa; Chordata; Aves; Psittaciformes; Psittaculidae.